GGUCUUUUAGUAUAACGGUAGUACAGCUGCCCUUCACGUAGCUAGUGUCAGUUCGAAUCUGGUAAAGACUA
Molecule: transfer RNA, 71 nt
Filed under: Inonotus hispidus
Lineage: Eukaryota; Fungi; Basidiomycota; Agaricomycetes; Hymenochaetales; Hymenochaetaceae
Description: tRNA-Glu
Rfam family: tRNA
About the family: Transfer RNA (tRNA) molecules are approximately 80 nucleotides in length. Their secondary structure includes four short double-helical elements and three loops (D, anti-codon, and T loops).
Source: RNAcentral